GAUGAACGCUGGCGGCGUGCCUAAUACAUGCAAGUCGAGCGAACAGACGAGGAGUUUGCUCCUCUGAUGUUAGCGGCGGACGGGUGAGUAACACGUGGAUAACCUACCUAUAAGACUGGGAUAACUUCGGGAAACCGGAGCUAAUACCGGAUAAUAUAUUGAACCGCAUGGUUCAAUAGUGAAAGACGGUUUUGCUGUCACUUAUAGAUGGAUCCGCGCCGCAUUAGCUAGUUGGUAAGGUAACGGCUUACCAAGGCAACGAUGCGUAGCCGACCUGAGAGGUGGAUCGGCCACACUGGAACUGGAACACGGUCCAGACUCCUACGGGAGGCAGCAGUAGGGAAUCUUCCGCAAUGGGCGAAAGCCUGACGGAGCAACGCCGCGUGAGUGAUGAAGGUCUUCGGAUCGUAAAACUCUGUUAUUAGGGAAGAACAAAUGUGUAAGUAACUAUGCACGUCUUGACGGUACCUAAUCAGAAAGCCACGGCUAACUACGUG
Molecule: ribosomal RNA, 497 nt
Filed under: uncultured bacterium
Lineage: Bacteria
Description: partial 16S ribosomal RNA
Rfam family: Bacterial small subunit ribosomal RNA
Source: RNAcentral